CUCUAAUACAAAUUUUGAGAUUAUGUGUUUUAAGGAAUACAUACAGUAAAAGUAUUAGUAUUAAAGAGAUUUAUUCCUUCCUAAUAUAGGUAAAAAAGUAUCAAUAAAAUGUGUAUUAGUAAAAAAAUUUCGAACAUACACAUUUUAU
The submitters of this non-coding RNA (148 nucleotides) gave its source as unclassified sequences. The record is from Rfam.